UUUAUGGUUUUUAACUUUAAAAUGAUCAGGAAUACAAGUAGCUAAUGUUUCUAACAGUAUAGUUUUAAAUAUUUUUUCCCUAAAGAUGUUUUUGUUUGUGGUGAGGUCCCUUUUCUUCUCUUCCCAGCAUGCAUUGGGGCAUAAAUACUUAAUAUGGUAGCACUGCUUGACCUUUUGCUGGUUUUAUUUACAAUGAAGUCUUGUGGAUUUGGUCACAUUUAGAAAUCUGCUGUCUUGCCAUGUCUGGAAUGAGUUUAUUCCUCUAGGAUGGAUUUUGUUGGACACACCAAAGACGAUUAGUCAUUGGGCAAACUUCAGAGAUGGAAGUGACUGUUUCAUACUGCUAAAAAAAAACUUGACCCACCUGAAACCACUCAGUGGUGAUCGUUUUAUGAGGAUUAAUGGCAUGUUCUCUUGUGGGCCCAUCUUUGACCUCUGUGCUCUCCUAGAGUUUAAAACACUAGCCAUGAAAUGUGGUAGAGACGUGUGACACAUUAGGCCCACCAUGCUAGACCGUAGUGGGCAACAGUGUUACAGACACAAUACAAUACAUGAAAGCUAAAAGGAAACCUCUUGACUUUCUAGUCUUAGUUUUAAACAUGGCUUGAGUUGGGACUGAUUAUAGAAGUC
Cyprinus carpio (common carp) is the source of this 630-nucleotide long non-coding RNA. The record is from Ensembl. Lineage: Eukaryota; Metazoa; Chordata; Actinopteri; Cypriniformes; Cyprinidae.